UGGGGAAUAUUGCACAAUGGGCGCAAGCCUGAUGCAGCCAUGCCGCGUGUAUGAAGAAGGGCUUCGGGUUGUAAAGUACUUUCAGUGGGGAGGAAGGGAGUAAAGUUAAUACCUUUGCUGAUGGAGGUUACCCGCAGAAGAAGCACCGGCUAACUCCGUGUCAGCAGCCGCGGUAAUACGGAGGGUGCAAGCGUUAAUCGGAAUUACUGGGCGUAAAGCGCACGCAGGCGGUUUGGUAAGUCAGAUUUGAAAUCCUCGGGCUCAAACUGGGAACUGCAUCUGAUACUGGAAAGCUUGGGUCUCGUAGAGGGGGGUAGAAUUCCAGGUGUAGCGGUGAAAUGCGUAGAGAUCUGGAGGAAUACCGGUGGCGAAGGCGGCCCCCUGGACGAAGACUGACGCUCAGGUGCGAAAGCGUGGGGAGCAAACAGG
This 429-nucleotide ribosomal RNA is filed under the name Chloroflexota bacterium. RNAcentral describes it as "Chloroflexi bacterium partial 16S ribosomal RNA". It matches the Rfam family "Bacterial small subunit ribosomal RNA", at positions 355 to 776 of the family's 1533-position model. Lineage: Bacteria; Bacillati; Chloroflexota. The record is from RNAcentral.